CAGGCUUAACACAUGCAAGUCGAGGGGCAGCAUGGUCUUAGCUUGCUAAGACUGAUGGCGACCGGCGCACGGGUGAGUAACACGUAUCCAACCUGCCGUCUACUCUUGGACAGCCUUCUGAAAGGAAGAUUAAUACAAGAUGGCAUCAUGAGUCCACAUGUUCACAUGAUUAAAGGUAUUCCGGUAGACGAUGGGGAUGCGUUCCAUUAGAUAGUAGGCGGGGUAACGGCCCACCUAGUCUUCGAUGGAUAGGGGUUCUGAGAGGAAGGUCCCCCACAUUGGAACUGAGACACGGUCCAAACUCCUACGGGAGGCAGCAGUGAGGAAUAUUGGUCAAUGGGCGAGAGCCUGAACCAGCCAAGUAGCGUGAAGGAUGACUGCCCUAUGGGUUGUAAACUUCUUUUAUAAAGGAAUAAAGUCGGGUAUGCAUACCCGUUUGCAUGUACUUUAUGAAUAAGGAUCGGCUAACUCCGUGCCAGCAGCCGCGGUAAUACGGAGGAUCCGAGCGUUAUCCGGAUUUAUUGGGUUUAAAGGGAGCGUAGAUGGAUGUUUAAGUCAGUUGUGAAAGUUUGCGGCUCAACCGUAAAAUUGCAGUUGAUACUGGAUAUCUUGAGUGCAGUUGAGGCAGGCGGAAUUCGUGGUGUAGCGGUGAAAUGCUUAGAUAUCACGAAGAACUCCGAUUGCGAAGGCAGCCUGCUAAGCUGCAACUGACAUUGAGGCUCGAAAGUGUGGGUAUCAAACAGGAUUAGAUACCCUGGUAGUCCACACGGUAAACGAUGAAUACUCGCUGUUUGCGAUAUACAGCAAGCGGCCAAGCGAAAGCGUUAAGUAUUCCACCUGGGGAGUACGCCGGCAACGGUGAAACUCAAAGGAAUUGACGAGGGCCCGCACAAGCGGAGGAACAUGUGGUUUAAUUCGAUGAUACGCGAGGAACCUUACCCGGGCUUAAAUUGCAGAUGAAUUACGGUGAAAGCCGUAAGCCGCAAGGCAUCUGUGAAGGUGCUGCAUGGUUGUCGUCAGCUCGUGCCGUGAGGUGUCGGCUUAAGUGCCAUAACGAGCGCAACCCUUGUUGUCAGUUACUAACAGGUCCUGCUGAGGACUCUGACAAGACUGCCAUCGUAAGAUGUGAGGAAGGUGGGGAUGACGUCAAAUCAGCACGGCCCUUACGUCCGGGGCUACACACGUGUUACAAUGGGGGGUACAGAGGGCCGCUACCACGCGAGUGGAUGCCAAUCCCCAAAACCUCUCUCAGUUCGGACUGGAGUCUGCAACCCGACUCCACGAAGCUGGAUUCGCUAGUAAUCGCGCAUCAGCCACGGCGCGGUGAAUACGUUCCCGGGCCUUGUACACACCGCCCGUCAAGCCAUGGGAGCCGGGGGUACCUGAAGUGCGUAACCGCGAGGAGCGCCCUAGGGUAAAACUGGUGACUGGGGC
Molecule: ribosomal RNA, 1434 nt
Filed under: uncultured organism
Description: 16S ribosomal RNA
Rfam family: Bacterial small subunit ribosomal RNA
Source: RNAcentral